Molecule: long non-coding RNA, 1456 nt
Organism: Heterocephalus glaber (naked mole-rat)
Lineage: Eukaryota; Metazoa; Chordata; Mammalia; Rodentia; Bathyergidae
Source: RefSeq, a predicted model, not a curated record
AAGGGGCGCCGGGCUGCGGAUUUAGCUCGGUGGUUUGGUCGCCUCCCUGGCAAGUGCAAGGUCCUGAGUCCGAUCCCUGGUACAAAAAAGAAAGUUCUCACACAUAAAAAGGGGCGCCUAGGGUCGGGAUAGAAGGCAGAGUCCGUGCGGGGCCAGUGGUUUUCCUUCCCGCUUUACAGGCAGAGUUGGUCGGCCUACCCCCGGAUGGGCCAAGGCCUUUGAGCCUCUCGCCCUUUCGUUAGAAAGCCUGCGUUCCGGCGCCAGACAAGUUGCCAGCCCUCUACUAGCGGAGAAGUGAAGCCUUCCUGAUGGCCCGCCGAGAGGAUAGGGGACUGACCCGCGAGCGCGCUUUCGAAACUAGCUCUCUCUAGGACCCGGGGACGUCGUCUGCCCAACGCCUAUUCCUAGGCUAGUUCCUGUUUUCUGAGGCUGGAGAGGCGGCCCUGGCCCGGGUGCCGCACCCAGACCAGAAAACCCUCGCACCCCGCGAUCAGGCUUUCUUCCCGUACGGGACCGCCAUGAGACUGCAUCGAAAGUCGGUGCUGUUUCUUUCACGGGUACAGAACACAGGCGCCAGACCAGGAGGGCACCCUGCUGAAGAAGGGAGCCCGAAACGGCAGCUACCAGCGCCGCUGGUUCGUCCUUCGGGGAAACCGCCUCUUCUACCUGGAGCACCAGGCGGACCGCACCCCCCUGGGGCUCAUUCUGCUGGAGAACUGCCAGGUGGAGCCCUGCCGCAAGGCCACAGCACCCUACGCCUUCACCAUCCUGACCGCCCGGCUGGAGGGCACAGGUGGGCGGGCCUACGAGCUGGCUGCGGAGAACCAGGAAGAGCUGAGGACUUGGCUGUGCGCGCUGGCUGGGGUGAGCUGGACGCGGCUGGCUGUGCUGCUGCCCGCCCUGGAAGCCCAGUACCGGGAGCUGUGCCGAGCGGCUGGCCAAGAGCCCAGCCCUCCCCCGAAAGGCUGUGGCUUUCUAGCCACGCUCAGUGCCACAUCCAGCUUCCAAGAGUUGCAUGAGCGUUUAGGGAAGGAGGUCCGGGUGCUGCUGGCAGUGAAUAGAGGGUUCCAGGGGGCCAGUGACCAUAGAGGCAGCGGUUCCCAGGCAGAGGGAACAAGAGUUCAACCAGGGAUUGUUGAUGAGUGACUGAGGGAUGGACUGGCCAGUCAUGGCGGCACACACCUGUUUUCCUGGCACUCAGGAGGCUGAGGCAGGAGGAUCAAGAACUCAAGGCCAGCCAGGACUACAGUUCAGGGCCAGCCUGAUCUACAUAGCAAGACCCUGUCUCAACCCCCCCCCAAAAAAAGAGGGUAGAUGGACCAAGGGCUGAGAUCAUCUAGCUGCCACAACAUCGGACUGGACUGCUUCAACAGAGCCCAGCUCUCUCCCUCCCUAGUUCUUGCUCCCAAAUCCCCCUCAUCAAAUAACAAGGCAGGAGACAGGCCCAGGUACAACA